Long non-coding RNA from Brassica oleracea var. oleracea, 373 nucleotides. RefSeq lists it as uncharacterized. NCBI's taxonomy places the organism in Eukaryota, Viridiplantae, Streptophyta, Magnoliopsida, Brassicales, Brassicaceae. The transcript is spliced from 3 exons. The record is from RefSeq and is a predicted model, not a curated record.
AAAAAAAAUCCAGAUUUAAUGUUAUCUUCUUUUUUUUUUUUGGUAAUCGAUUCAAUGUUAUCUUCUUCUUAACUUAAUGCUCUCUUCUUCUUUUUUGCAUGAUUCACAAUAAAGAUACCAAUGGAGUUUUCUCCUGAUUCAGAGCUUAGUUCUUCCAGAAAAAUGGGAAAUCAAAAUCAUUGUCAAGACCAAGGGGCAACAGAUUUAGAUGUGUAUACAGAGAUUCCAAACACCAGACCUUAACUCGAUUUGAAAUACUAACGUUUAUAAUGGUUAUAGAGAAAAAGAAAACCUGGACCAUAAUACCACUGAGGAACGUGAAAAUAGUUUUUGGUGCUGCGGUGGGAACUACCUAACAUGAUUAAGGUCAAUU